Hipposideros armiger (great roundleaf bat) is the source of this 945-nucleotide long non-coding RNA. RefSeq lists it as uncharacterized. The record is from RefSeq and is a predicted model, not a curated record. NCBI's taxonomy places the organism in Eukaryota, Metazoa, Chordata, Mammalia, Chiroptera, Hipposideridae. The transcript has 2 exons.
CUGAUUCAUUUGCAAAAUUACAAAAUAACCCAGUUUCCUACCAGAAAAUUAGGACUGUACAAGGUUUCCAAGUCCCAGUGUGACUUGUGUAUACAUUUUGCAUUCUAUCGUGCCUGAUGAGAUGUGUGUCAUCAUCAUCACUAUUUACUGUGCUAACUGCUAAAAUAUGCCACUGCUCUAUAUGGAAAGGAGUUUGGGGGUCUCAUCUUCUGAUAAGGCUCAGGUGUGGAUUUCUUUUAUAACAGAGCUUUUAAUGUUAAAAGUGAUUGCUUUCUAUUAAACUGUAAGACAUCAAGUUGUUUUAAAACAUCACAUCUAUGUAGUAACUUUGAAAUCUUUGAUUUGAAAUUGCAGCUGACGUGCUGAGUGAAGGAGCGAUAUUGAAAUGGUACAAAGAAGCACACGUGGCCAAAGGCAAAAGUGUUUUUCUUGACCAGAUGAAGAAAUUUGUUGAGUGGUUACAAAACGCAGAAGAAGAAUCUGAAUCGGAAGGGGAGGAAAAUUAGAUGACUGGAGAAGCACAAUACCUAAGUUACACAACACUUUUAUUGAGAAUGCUGAACCAUUCAAGAAGAGAAACUUGGCUUCCGUUUUCCCAAAGGAAAAAAAAAAAAAAUAGGAUAGGUUUCCCUUGUGCAGAGGGGGAAAGUGGUUUUUGUUUUUGUUUUGUUUUUAAAUGGAGCCCUGAGGCAUCAGCUAUUAUACUUGGGACUCUACCUCUCACUCACGAUAUGCUAACUUAAAGCCAUUCAACAAGGAGUCAAGUAGGAAUCUGAAAUUAAAUAUUCAACAGGCUCCUCUUUUUUAGCUGUAUUUUUCAGGUACUGUGUGGUGAACGCCCCACUGGUGUCUAUAACAGGGCCACUUUGGUAGUUGUGUUUCUGCUCGUGUAUGUGAUCUGACAAACCAGUUUUUUUAAAAUAAAUGGCUUUAUAAAAAUCUGGG